GGCCUAACACAUGCAAGUCGAACGCACUCUUCGGAGUGAGUGGCAGACGGGUGAGUAACGCGUGGGAACCUUCCCAAUGGUACGGAAUAACUCCGGGAAACCGGUGCUAAUACCGUAUAAGCCCCUCGGGGGAAAGAUUUAUCGCCAUUGGAUGGGCCCGCGUCGGAUUAGCUAGUUGGUAAGGUAAUGGCUUACCAAGGCUACGAUCCGUAGCUGGUCUGAGAGGAUGAUCAGCCACACUGGGACUGAGACACGGCCCAGACUCCUACGGGAGGCAGCAGUAGGGAAUCUUGGACAAUGGGCGAAAGCCUGAUCCAGCCAUGCCGCGUGAGUGAAGAAGGCCUUAGGGUUGUAAAGCUCUUUUGGCGGGGACGAUAAUGACGGUACCCGCAGAAUAAGCCCCGGCUAACUUCGUGCCAGCAGCCGCGGUAAUACGAAGGGGGCUAGCGU
RNAcentral lists this ribosomal RNA (450 nucleotides) under uncultured Alphaproteobacteria bacterium. RNAcentral's name for it is "bacterial SSU rRNA". It matches the Rfam family "Bacterial small subunit ribosomal RNA", at positions 45 to 541 of the family's 1533-position model. Lineage: Bacteria; Pseudomonadati; Pseudomonadota; Alphaproteobacteria. The record is from RNAcentral.